RNAcentral lists this long non-coding RNA (9272 nucleotides) under Lynx pardinus (Iberian lynx). Lineage: Eukaryota; Metazoa; Chordata; Mammalia; Carnivora; Felidae. The record is from RNAcentral.
CCCGCGGCGAGCAGAGUUGAGGACCGGCCAGCGGGGCGUCCCGGGCUAGACCUGGGAGAUGUCCGAGUGACUGGGGGAGCCCCGGCCGUGCAAGGUGAGAACUCAGAGAAGCGGGCGGAAGGCCAGGCGGGUGACCGGCGGGACCUUCCCAGAGCCCAGCGCACCUGGGAACAGGCGGCGUUGAGGUGGCAGCUGGGUCAGGGUGCCUCCGACCGCGGACACCCACUGCUGAGCACGGAGACAUUCCUUCUGAAGAACCAGGAAAGCGGUGCCAGUUUGCGAGAGGGGCGGAACUAACUUCCAGCCAGGGCCCGCUGUGCGCCAGGCACCGAGCUGAGCGCUCGGAUAAGGAGUGCGCGGCGGCGAAGGCAGUCAAGAGUGAUCUUUCCAGACGUUUGGCAAUGAGCCGGAGAGGCCUGUAGUUCAAGAGGUAGUAAAAGUAAAGGAGACAGGUGAUUUCUUUCUCUUUCCCCCACCCCAGCCCCCUCACCCAGCAUGAGGUGGCGCUCUCAAAAGAGCUGGGGGGGCGGGGGGAUAAGAGAUGGGGUAAUUAACGGCGCAAGAUCGCAGAAAAGGAAAAUGAGGAAGGGGUGGUGGAGAGGGAGGAAGAAAUCAGAGAAGGGACACACCUCUUCCUACAAGACUUCAAGGAUGCAUGCAUAAACAGAAAUCUUUUGAGAUGGGGAGGAGGCCUACUGAGCCCUGCAUGUUUCCAUGCAUCAGCUGCCUAGAUGACCCUAAAGUCAUCCAUAGGCCUUCUGAGGUUACUGCCCUUUCAGACUUCAGCGCAACUGGCUCAGAUCCCUGUUCCUCUUAAAGUGGGAAACCCUGCCUACCUGCCAACAUUUCCAAUUCUCCUAAUUAUCCUAUUGCUCCAAUUAUUUCUCCUAAUUUACAGUUCUCGUAAUUAUCCUAUUGGCCCCAAUUUUCUAUUCCCAGUAUUCCACUGUGCGCUUUUAGGAAAUUUGUCACUAUAGCCUGGAUACCACCCCAUCUAUAUUCCCCCCAAAUAUAGCACCAUAUGUGAAAACAAAGCACCCAGUGUUAUAUGACUGUUAAAUAAAUUAUGGUUUAUUUGUAACCAUUAAAAAAUCAUGUUGAAGAAAAAGAUCGAUGAUACGGAAAAUAUCAGCAAUUGAAAAGCACCUCAUAAGAUAAUACUAGCUUGUAAUAUAUACAUGUACUAUGCAUAUCACGUAUAGAUAUCAUGCUAGAUUAAAAAAAUGGGAUUUUUAUUUUCUGUGAUGUCUUCUUUUUCUUGUUUUUACAGUACAUUACUAUUUCUCUUUAAAUCAGGAAAAAUGAUAUUUUAAAGCAUUUUUAAGAAAGUUUUUUUUUUUUUUUAAGAUCUUUGCGGAGUUGAAAAGAGUUAUUAGAAAUCAAGAAAGGAGGGGAGCCUGGCUGGCUCAAUCGGUAGAGUAUGUGACUAUCCAUCUGAGGGUCAUGAGUUCAAGCCCUACCUUGGGCAUGGAGCCUACUUUAAAAAAAUGAAAAGAGGAAUCAAGGAGAUUGGAAAGGGAUCUUUGAAGGAUGGAAGGGACUUAGGUCAGCACUGAUGGGCUAGUUGAGGAGGCUGCCUUAGGCAGGAGGGACACAAAGUGAGAACUGGAGGGAAUAGUCCAGUAACAGUAGCAGGUCAGUUUGGUUGAAGCAUAGGAUUCAAGGGAGAGAAAAGUAGGAGACCCAGUCUGGAAAAAUAAGAUGGGACCGUAGUCCUAAAUGCCAAGCUGAACCCUUUGUGAUUUGUGGCUGGCAAGAACCACUGGCCCUUGAGCUGUGCAGGUGAUAAAUGUCAAAGUAAAUUUUCCUGUAACCUCUUACUUAAUGAGGUUCUGGAUCUCAGCCCUUCUAUCGUAAUGAUAGUUGGACAUGUGAUUGACUCAGAGCAGUGAGGCAGGGGCAACCGUAUUUUGCAUUCCAGCUGCUUACAGAAUGAGAAUUGGCCCUUGCUUCUCUGCCUGUUAAUCACUACAAUUUUUAUUCACAAGGCACCAGAUUUUCAGAGAGAACAGAUUAGCAAAGAGCGAAGCUGAAAGGAAGAAAUGUGCACCUUAAACCAGGGCUUUAAAAAAAAAAGUUUUUUAGAACUUUCUGUGAGUUCCACAGAUAAAUGAGAUCACACAGUAUUUAUCUUUUUCUCUGACUUAUUUCACUUAGCAUAAUGCCCUCAAGGUCCAUCCAUGUUGUCACAAAUGAUAGUAUUUCCUUCUCAUAUUGCUGAAUAAUGUUCUUUGCCAACGUUUUUGACUCUGACCUUCUAUACGAAAUAUAUUUCACAUCUCAACCCAGAAUAUACACACACACGUACACACCUCCGAGAAGUUUCAUGAAGUAUUACUGUUACUUUAUGCACUGCUGGCUGAGACUUUCAACUUCAUGAUUUUUAUUUCUUUUGAAAUACCAGUCAGAACCUACUACAUUGAUUUUAUAACCCACUAUAGGGUUACAAAAUGCUUCAAAGGAUGUUGAAAAGAGGCUAGACUAUUCCCUGCUAUGUUUGCAGUUCUCAUUUAACUAGCCAUACAGACUGUGACCUUAAGUUUGCCAUGUUUACAUGUCCCAGAAAUCAACAGGACAGGUGAGACUCUCGGGAUGUGGUGGGGGUGGGGAUAGAAGGAUUGGCACAAGCCAUGUUUGUAUUCCUCUUCCCUUCUUAGCAAAUAUUUCCUGACACCAGCAUCUCUCAGCAGCUGUAAAUGUGUUCUUCUUUGUCUAGCUUGAGAUACAGAUUGAACUUCAGACAAGGCCGGACUACCGUGUAAACCAGAGACAACUUUUCAUUUGAAUGAACAGAAUCACAGACUACAAUGAAAGGGGGAAAAAAAUGUAUCUUGACUGUGACAGUCCAUAGAAGCUGUCUUACCACUGUUGGAAUAUCAUAGAGACAGUAAGUACCACCCCUUUCUUCAAAGUCCAGAACCAAUGAGGAGAUGAAAAUAACUCCAUCACCAACAGAGCUGAACUGAAGAAUGUGGCUUAGCUGAUGACCCGUAGGCUUUUUAAGAUUCCCUGAAUUAAAAUUCUCUCCCCCAAAACUCCAACCUUCACCUUGAGGGGGCCUAGCCGCUUUAACUGUGUCUGCUUAGAGAAGAUUGCACUCUCUGAGGGCAGGCAGAUCCAAAUUCACCAAUUAGAUAAGUCGCUCCUUCUGGAACACCCAGGAUACAUUCUCUCCUACCUGACCUCCUAUGAAAACAAACAAGCAAACAAAGUUGGGGAAUAAGGAUUUAUCCCUGCCCAAACAAACUGGAUCUGAUUCAUUAGUUUGGCAGUUGAAUGGGAAAGUGUAUUAACUCAGCGAAUUAUAAAAAAUGGCAAAUACAUGCCUUAACAUUUCAUUUUCACUUAAAACCUAUAAGGAACACCCAUUUGCCAAUCUUUUGAUGUGAGCCAAACAUUUUCUUUGAGGAACAGUGCUGAUUACAGUUUUCUUGAGCCCUAUCUCACAUAAAACCUAUCUGUGGUAUAUUUUCUGUGCUUUCCAAUUUGUUUCUUUAAUGUUGACUAAGGACUUGGGAUGCCUGGGUGGCUCGAUCUGUUAAGCGUCUGACUUCUGCUCAGAUCAUGAUCUCACAGUUCAUGGGUUUGAGCCCUGCCUUGGGCUCUGUACGGACAGCUCAGAAUCUGGAGCCUGCUUCAGAUUCUGUCUCUCCCUCUCUCUCUCUCUGUCCCUCCCCUGCCCCUCUCUCUCUCUCUCUCUCCCUCUCUCUCAAAAAUAGAUAAACAUUAAGAAAUAUUUUAAAGUUGCCUAAGGACUUAAAACAUCUUGAAAAGCAAUAUCAGAUUGCUUUUCAAAGCCACUAAGGCCAAAAAGAUGGAGGCUUCUUCUUUAAAAAAAAAAAUCCUUUGUAAUUGUCUCACCCACACCUGGUUUGACAGUUUUUAAUUUAUUUUUUUUUCAACGUUUAUUUAUUUUUGGGACAGAGAGAGACAGAGCAUGAACGGGGGAGGGGCAGAGAGAGAGGGAGACACAGAAUCGGAAACAGGCCCCAGGCUCCGAGCCAUCAGCCCAGAGCCUGACGCGGGGCUCGAACUCCCGGACCGCGAGAUCGUGACCUGGCUGAAGUCGGACGCUUAACCGACUGCGCCACCCAGGCGCCCCCGGUUUGACAGUUUUCAACUGGUCAUUAGCUAAACCUUCAACUGACAUUUCAUAGAAACAACUCUUUCUCUUUAUACACAUGCUUCAUCAGUUUGUGUAACUUAAAUUAAUUACACUCUGGCAUACAGUUGUCAUAAGCAAGUUUGGGACCAAACACAACAGACUCCCAUUAGGCAUCUAACUCAACUAGUAAGAAGAAGUGUGUUGGAAUUCCACAGAUGAACUCAUUAAUCCAAAGCGUUCAGCAGGUCACAGGUAGUAGUCAUUAUGUUUAAUCAGAGGGAAUGGAACGUGUUGAUUCCAGAGAGUCCAUUAAGAGAGCCAUUAAUGCUCAUAGACCAGUAUGACCGACUCUGUAUGCGUAUACCUUAACAUUCUUCUUCCGUCACAGAUCCAUUUUAUAAUCCCCUCAAAAUCACUGUCCCUCCACUCCCAUUUGGCUAAACAUGGCUUUAAAUGGUUUAAGAUUGGAAUGGCUAUCAAAGAAAUUCAAAUGGUAACAUCACAUAAUGCAUUAGCAAAAUAUAUGUAUCUUAAACACUUUCCAGUGCUAAUAAGAUGGUGUGAUUGUAUUCAGAAAAAGCUGUUGCAAUGUGAAUUGGUAUAAUCCUUUUAAGAAGCAGUUGACACUACUUCUGAAGAGCCUUAAAAGAGAUAUGGCUCCCUUUUGAUUCAUCAAUACCACUCCUAGAAACUUUUCCUUGGGAAGUAAUCCUCCCCCAAAGAGAACGUCCACACUCACAAUAUGUGCUACUGCCUUUUUGUGAUAGUGAAAGUUGAAGUAAUUUACGGUGUGUAACAUUGUGUAACUUACCACUGAGUAAGCAGAAAGGGGUAACUUGGAAAACACUUAAUGACAUAUUAUUUGGAAAAAAGAUACAAUUUGUUCUACCAUACUAAGAACCUGAAACAGAAUUGUAUACUUUAACCGGGUGAAUUCUGUGAAUCAUAUCUCAACUUUUUAAAAAAGAUACAAUUCUGUAUUUUUGCUUUUGUAUCAGCCAAGAUCAGCAGGAAACAGAUGGCCUACUCUGAAAUGUGUAACUGAAGAGAGUUAAUGAAGGGACAGUGUGCAAAGAUGUGGGCACGUUUGAGGGAAGCCAACAAGGGGUAAUGAAGCACCCCAGGGCUAGCAAAGAGAGGAAACCCAGGGCUCAGUGAGAACAAUAGCUGAUGGAAAGGGAAGGCCAAUAGGAACGUACAGGAAUACAGCCCUACCCCUGUCUCUCUCUUGCCCUCAGAUCUCCUGUGCUGCCUCCCACUGGCUGAACCCGAGAGGAAGCCUAAGGGCAAGUGAGCCCUGAUGACGUUGUCCUUCAAGGCCAGCCUCCGGAAAAUGAUGGAGGGUAGAUCUGGAAGGACAAAGGCACAAUAUCUAGCAGGUAUGUGAUCCUAUAACAACGUAAGAACUGUCUAAGCAUAUGGCCAAGGAUCUUAAGGGAACCCAGAAAACCAAGGUUUCCAGAGAUAAAAAGUGAAGGUAGCUAGAGAGCAGGGAGGGUAGGUGGAGGGAAGAGGAAAGGUUGUUAACUGAGGCUGAGACAAGGAUGAGAGGCAGAAGCAGGCACAUCUUAUUUUAUUUUAUUUUAUUUUUUUGCCAAAUACUUAGCUGGAGACUGAGCUCUGGAAGAGAUUAAAAGGAGAGACAGGAGCUAAAUUAGACUAGAGUGCUGGAAAUUCUUCCCCUAUUGGCUAUUACCCUGUAUUUCUCCUUCCUAGCUAAACUCCAUGCCUUCAACAAAUAAUUGUUUAGUACCCAUCAUGUGCCGGGAACUGUUAGGCCCUGGGGAUUGAGGAGGGAACAAAAUUAACAUCCUUGCUCUCCUGCAGUUUACAUCCUGGUGGGGAGGAAAACAGACCAUAGAUAAGUAAAUAUGUCACGAGUGUAAGUGUUAUAAAGAAAAACAUGGAAGAGCAGGGAAAUAAAAUUCUGCCCAUUCCACAUCUUAAAAACCUCUUGGUUUAGACCACACAUGCCCCUCCACACACACCAGAGCUCCUGAGUUUAUUAAGCCGUGCACAUCUCUCACCUGGACAAAGAUCGUGACACCUUCCUGCCCCCAGCACCUUCCAAGCAGUCCUCCGCUCUGCCGUGAGAAUCUUCCUGAAAUGAAUCACGUCAGUAUCCUGCUUAAAACCCUCCAAGGCUCCUGUUUGCUUACAAUGUGGAAAACCAUCUCACCUCCUUACGACGACGGACCUUUUUGAACCUUCUCGGUCCUUCACGCACCUCUCCCUCUCCCGCUCUCCUUUUCUACCCACACUAAUUGUCUGUAGUUUACUGGCCACGCCACACUGUCUCUCAUUCCCAUAUCUUUGUUCAUGCUGCUCUUUCCACUUACAAUGCCCUGCCAUGCCCUCCACCUUCUCCCAAAUUUGGCAACCCUGUCCUGAUUCUUUUAACCCCAUUAGCUGUCACGUCUUUGGUCAAACUUCUCUGCCCUUCCCAGGUGUGAGGGAGCAUCUCCUAGCUCCCUCCUUCAUGUUAUCAGUGUAUCUUAUAGGUACCUAUGAAUAUAUUUAUUAUACCAUAUAAUCUUAUUUGUUAGACUUCAAGAUGCUUUGGUUUAGGGGCGCCUGGGUGGCGCAGUCAGUUAAGCGUCCGACUUCAGCCAGGUCACGAUCUCGCAGUCCGUGAGUUCGAGCCCCGCGUCGGGCUCUGGGCUGAUGGCUCAGAGCCUGGAGCCUGUUUCCGAUUCUGUGUCUCCCUCUCUCUCUGCCCCUCCCCCGUUCAUGCUCUGUCUCUCUCUGUCCCAAAAAUAAAUAAACGUUGAAAAAAAAAAAAAAAAGAUGCUUUGUUUUAAAUAUAAUCCGGGGCGCCUGGGUGGCGCAGUCGGUUAAGCGUCCGACUUCAGCCAGGUCACGAUCUCGCGGUCCGUGAGUUCGAGCCCCGCGUCGGGCUCUGGGCUGAUGGCUCAGAGCCUGGAGCCUGUUUCCGAUUCUGUGUCUCCCUCUCUCUCUGCCCCUCCCCCGUUCAUGCUCUGUCUCUCUCUGUCCCAAAAAUAAAUAAACGUUGAAAAAAAAAAUUUAAAUAUAAUCCAUGGGUCGAACCCCUUCAUUGGUUCGUGCCUGACCCUCUUUUGUUACUGAUCAUCCACUGUAAAAGUUAGAAUUGACAACUUACACAUAUCCCCCCCCCAAACCCAACGGUUAAUCUUGUGUUUAUUAUUUUCUUGCUCCUAAAAAUAGUUUUAUCUAGAAAAUAAAUAUAUUAUCAAAAAUUAAUUUUAAAAAUUACCCUGACUCUGAUAUCAUGUCUAUGUGAAAUCUAAAAAACAAUAGAUGAACAGGGGCGCCUGGGUGCCUCAGUCGGUUAAGCAUCCAACUUCGGCUCAGGUCGUGAUCUCAUAGUUUGCGAGUUCGAGCCCCACGUUGGGCUCUGUGCUGACGGCUCAGAGCCUGGCGCCUGCUUCAGAUUCUGUGUCUCCCCCUCUCUCUGCCCCUCCCCUGCUCAUGCUCUGUGUCUCUCUGUCUCUCAAGAAUAAGUAAAUGUUUAAAAAAAUUAUUUAAAAAAAUAGAUGAACAAACAAAAAGCAGAAACAGACCCCUAAAUAUAGAGAAGGAACCAGUGGUUGUCAGUAGGGCGGGGGGAGGAAGAUGGGCAAAAUAGAUGAAGGGGAGAGAGAGGGCCAGGCUUUCAGCUGCGGGAUGAAUAAGUCAUGGGGACGAAAGGGACAUAGUCAAUGGCAUUGUAAUAGCCUUGUGUGGUGACAGAUGGUAGCUGCAUAUUUGUGCCGAGCGGAGUGAAGUAUAGAGCUGUUGAAUCACUAUGUUGUCCACCUGAAAUUAAUUUAACACGGUGCACCAGCUACACUUCAAUUUUAAAAAUCACCCCAGCUUUAUAAAAAUUUAAAGUUAAAAAGUCUUGCUUUUUACAAAGGUUGAAGGGCGCCUGGAUGGCUCAGUCAGUUAAGCAUCCAACUUCGGCUCAGGUCAUGAUCUUACGGCUCUUGCGUUCCAGCCCCUCCUCAGGCUCCCUCUUGUCAACAUGGAGCCUGCUUCGGAUCCUCUGUCUCCCCCUCUCUCUUUCAAAACUAAAUAAACAUUAAAAACAUUUUUUAAAGUUGAGAUUGAAUGUGUUUAUAUAUACUUAACAGCUAUAUAUAUUUCCUCUUGUGAAAUAUCUGUUCGUAUCUUUCUGCCCAUUUUCUUUUUUUUUUUUUUUUUGUCCUUUUCUCAUUAACUUUCCGGAUUUCCUGAUGUGUUCUUUUAAUAAUCCUUUGCGGUUUUUUUCCCCCUUAGAAUUCAAGUACACAGAACAAGUUUAAUUUCUAGAAAUUUAUGUCUAUAUAUUUACAUAAACACUUAAAUCUAUAUUUUUGUGUAUGCAAACCUGCAUGCAUAUUCCCAAAACAUGUAUUUUAGUUAUUUACUUUUUUUAAUUUUUAAAAAUGUUUAUUUAUUUUGAGAGAGAGAGAGACAGAGACAGAGCGCAAGCGGGGGAGGGGCAGAGAGAGCGGGAGACACAGAAUCCGAAGCAGGCCCCAGGCUCCAAGCUGUCAGCACAGAGCCCCAUGCGGUGCUUGAACCCACAAACCCUGAGAUCAUGACCUGAGCCACCCUGGUGCCCCUAGUUGGUUUCUUCAUUAAAGAGCAUUGUGCCCUACAUAAUAUCCUGGGACUUCUUUUUCACUUUCCGUGUUAUUUUGUUAAGAUUUAUCUGGGCCUGCUGCAUGUAACCGAGUUUAUUUGCAUUGUGGCCGCUGUAGAUUGUUCUGGAGUGUGAAUAUACUAGUAUGACUUUGCCUCUCGAUGCAGAGGCUCUUGGCACCCUGUGUUCUUCCCCUUGGCCCGUCUCAGGUCUUAGGCAAACAUGUGGUGGCCAGUUUCGUGAGCUCCCAACACUGACAAUUCCCGAUGCGAGCGUUAGGCCUUGGGUGUCUCUAGUUUCUGCUUCAGGCCCUUCUGUGCCACAAGAGCCUUCUCGGCAGCCCGGCAGGCGCAGCCUGAAAGUGAGGAGAGCUAACCCUCGACCAAAGGGGGAUGUGAGCCAAGAGAUAAAUGCCCCAGGCUCCCAUCCUUCGGAUGAACAAUUCUGGGAGGCAUUCUGUACACCUCUCAGAGGCGUCCGUGGAAUCUCAUGCCCCGUGUCAGCCUCCCUUCCUGCUCUGCCUCACCCUUCUUUCCUUCCCUCCCGAGGCCCGAGGCCCGAGAUCACUUCCCAGAUAAA